AGCGAACGCUGGCGGCAGGCCUAACACAUGCAAGUCGAACGAACCCUUCGGGGUUAGUGGCGGACGGGUGAGUAACACGUGGGAACGUACCUUUAGGUUCGGAACAACACAGGGAAACUUGUGCUAAUGCCGAAUGUGCCCUUCGGGGGAAAGAUUUAUCGCCUUUAGAGCGGCCCGCGUCUGAUUAGCUUGUUGGUGAGGUAAAGGCUCACCAAGGCUACGAUCAGUAGCUGGUCUGAGAGGAUGAUCAGCCACACUGGGACUGAGACACGGCCCAGACUCCUACGGGAGGCAGCAGUGGGGAAUCUUGCGCAAUGGGCGAAAGCCUGACGCAGCCAUGCCGCGUGAAGGAAGACGGCCUUAUGGGUUGUAAACUUCUUUACUAUGCGACUAACUAGAUUUACGAGAUAAUUCUAUAGAAUGUAGCAUAGCAAAAAGCACCGGCUAACUCCGUG
This 455-nucleotide ribosomal RNA is filed under the name uncultured bacterium. RNAcentral's name for it is "bacterial SSU rRNA". It matches the Rfam family "Bacterial small subunit ribosomal RNA", at positions 29 to 507 of the family's 1533-position model. The record is from RNAcentral.